UGAUCAUUAUACGCGUGUGUGAAGAAGGCCUGAGGGUUGUAAAGCACUUUCAAUAGGAAGGAAUACCUAUCGGUUAAUACCCGGUAGACUGACAUUACCUAUACAAGAAGCACCGGCUAACUCCGUGCCAGCAGCCGCGGUAAUACGGAGGGUGCAAGCGUUAAUCGGAAUUACUGGGCGUAAAGCGUGCGUAGGCGGUUAUUUAAGUCAGAUGUGAAAGCCCUGAGCUUAACCUGGGAACUGCAUUUGAUACUGGAUGACUAGAGUUGAGUAGAGGAGAGUGGAAUAUCAGGUGUAGCGGUGAAAUGCGUAGAGAUCUGAAGGAACACCAGUGGCGAAGGCGGCUCUCUGGACUCAAACUGACGCUGAGGUACGAAAGCGUGGGUAGCAAACAGGAUUAGAUACCCUGGUAGUCCACGCCGUAAACGAUGUCAACUAACCGUAGGGUUCUUUAAGAACUUAGUGGUGGAGCUACCGUAUUAAGUAGACCGACUGAGGAGUACGGNCGAAGGCUAAAACUCAACUU
This 526-nucleotide ribosomal RNA is filed under the name uncultured archaeon. RNAcentral's name for it is "bacterial SSU rRNA". It matches the Rfam family "Bacterial small subunit ribosomal RNA", at positions 384 to 907 of the family's 1533-position model. The record is from RNAcentral.